This 486-nucleotide ribosomal RNA is filed under the name uncultured bacterium. RNAcentral describes it as "partial 16S ribosomal RNA". It matches the Rfam family "Bacterial small subunit ribosomal RNA", at positions 30 to 507 of the family's 1533-position model. The record is from RNAcentral.
AUUGAACGCUGGCGGCAUGCCUUACACAUGCAAGUCGAACGGCAGCACGGGUGCUUGCCCCUGGUGGCGAGUGGCGAACGGGUGAGUAAUACAUCGGAACAUGUCCUGUAGUGGGGGAUAGCCCGGCGAAAGCCGGAUUAAUACCGCAUACGAUCUACGGAUGAAAGCGGGGGACCUUCGGGCCUCGCGCUAUAGGGUUGGCCGAUGGCUGAUUAGCUAGUUGGUGGGGUAAAGGCCAACCAAGGCGACGAUCAGUAGCUGGUCUGAGAGGACGACCAGCCACACUGGGACUGAGACACGGCCCAGACUCCUACGGGAGGCAGCAGUGGGGAAUUUUGGACAAUGGGCGAAAGCCUGAUCCAGCAAUGCCGCGUGUGUGAAGAAGGCCUUCGGGUUGUAAAGCACUUUUGUCCGGAAAGAAAUCCUUGGCCCUAAUACGGUCGGGGGAUGACGGUACCGGAAGAAUAAGCACCGGCUAACUACGUG